UAAUAGUGUAUAUUAAAGUUGUUGCAGUUAAAAAGCUCGUAGUUGAAUGUUGGUGUCGAACGAGCGGUCAGCUUCGGCUGUACUGCUCUCUCGACUCCUUCCUUCUGUGGACUACGUCGCACUUUACUGUGUGGCGCUAGGACGCAGAUCGUUUACUGUGAAAAAAUUAGAGUGUUCAAAGCAGGCCGUACGCUUGAAUACAUUAGCAUGGAAUAAUGGAAUAGGACGUCGGGCCUAUUUUGUUGGUUCUAGGACCGUCGUAAUGAUCAAUAGGGACAGUUGGGGCCGUUUAUAUUCCGUAGUCAGAGGUGAAAUUCUUGGAUUUACGGAAGAUAAACUACUGCGAAAGCAUUCGGCAAGGAUGUUUNCGUUAA
Molecule: ribosomal RNA, 374 nt
Filed under: uncultured eukaryote
Lineage: Eukaryota
Description: partial 18S ribosomal RNA
Rfam family: Eukaryotic small subunit ribosomal RNA
Source: RNAcentral